This 181-nucleotide unclassified non-coding RNA is filed under the name plant metagenome. Its description in RNAcentral is "partial contains small subunit ribosomal RNA and internal transcribed spacer 1". The record is from RNAcentral.
AAGUCGUAACAAGGUUUCCGUAGGUAGCACUGCAGGAAGAUACAUUAAGAUUGCGCAUGGCAGUUCUCACCCUUUGUAUACCGAAACCAUGUUGCUUUGGCAGGCCCCUGCAUUUCUCGGGCCUGCCAGAGGUUAUAAACCCUAGAAUCUCUGCUGUCUGAGUACUAUACAAUAGUUAAAA